RNAcentral lists this ribosomal RNA (2920 nucleotides) under Klebsiella grimontii. RNAcentral describes it as "23S ribosomal RNA". It matches the Rfam family "Bacterial large subunit ribosomal RNA". The record is from RNAcentral. Lineage: Bacteria; Pseudomonadati; Pseudomonadota; Gammaproteobacteria; Enterobacterales; Enterobacteriaceae.
GGGUUGUGAGGUUAAGCGACUAAGCGUACACGGUGGAUGCCCUGGCAGUCAGAGGCGAUGAAGGACGUGCUAAUCUGCGAAAAGCGUCGGUAAGGUGAUAUGAACCGUUAUAGCCGGCGAUGUCCGAAUGGGGAAACCCAGUGCAAUUCGUUGCACUAUCGUUAACUGAAUACAUAGGUUAACGAGGCGAACCGGGGAACUGAAACAUCUAAGUACCCCGAGGAAAAGAAAUCAACCGAGAUUCCCCAGUAGCGGCGAGCGAACGGGGAGCAGCCCGGAGUCUGAAUCAGCUUGUGUGUUAGUGGAAGCGUCUGGAAAGUCGCAGGGUACAGGGUGAUACUCCCGUACACUAAAGCACACAGGUUGUGAACUCGAAGAGUAGGGCGGGACACGUGGUAUCCUGUCUGAAUAUGGGGGACCAUCCUCCAAGGCUAAAUACUCCUGACUGACCGAUAGUGAACCAGUACCGUGAGGGAAAGGCGAAAAGAACCCCGGCGAGGGGAGUGAAAAGAACCUGAAACCGUGUACGUACAAGCAGUAGGAGCCUCUUUAUGGGGUGACUGCGUACCUUUUGUAUAAUGGGUCAGCGACUUAUAUUCUGUAGCAAGGUUAACCGUAUAGGGGAGCCGCAGGGAAACCGAGUCUUAACUGGGCGUUAAGUUGCAGGGUAUAGACCCGAAACCCGGUGAUUAGCCAUGGGCAGGUUGAAGGUUGGGUAACACUAACUGGAGGACCGAACCGACUAAUGUUGAAAAAUUAGCGGAUGACUUGUGGCUGGGGUGAAAGGCCAAUCAAACCGGGAGAUAGCUGGUUCUCCCCGAAAGCUAUUUAGGUAGCGCCUCGUGAACUCAUCUUCGGGGGUAGAGCACUGUUUCGGCUAGGGGUCAUCCCGACUUACCAACCCGAUGCAAACUACGAAUACCGAAGAAUGUUAUCACGGGAGACACACGGCGGGUGCUAACGUCCGUCGUGAAGAGGGAAACAACCCAGACCGCCAGCUAAGGUCCCAAAGUCAUGGUUAAGUGGGAAACGAUGUGGGAAGGCCCAGACAGCCGGGAUGUUGGCUUAGAAGCAGCCAUCAUUUAAAGAAAGCGUAAUAGCUCACUGGUCGAGUCGGCCUGCGCGGAAGAUGUAACGGGCUAAACCAUGCACCGAAGCUGCGGCAGCGACACUAUGUGUUGUUGGGUAGGGGAGCGUUCUGUAAGCCGUUGAAGGUGGCCUGUGAGGGUUGCUGGAGGUAUCAGAAGUGCGAAUGCUGACAUAAGUAACGAUAAUGCGGGUGAAAAACCCGCACGCCGGAAGACCAAGGGUUCCUGUCCAACGUUAAUCGGGGCAGGGUGAGUCGACCCCUAAGGCGAGGCCGAAAGGCGUAGUCGAUGGGAAACAGGUUAAUAUUCCUGUACUCGGUGUUACUGCGAAGGGGGGACGGAGAAGGCUAUGUUGGCCGGGCGACGGUUGUCCCGGUUUAAGCAUGUAGGCGGAUGUUCCAGGUAAAUCCGGAACGUUAUUAACGCUGAGGUGUGAUGACGAGGCACUACGGUGCUGAAGUGACAAAUGCCCUGCUUCCAGGAAAAGCCUCUAAGCAUCAGGUAACAUCAAAUCGUACCCCAAACCGACACAGGUGGUCAGGUAGAGAAUACCAAGGCGCUUGAGAGAACUCGGGUGAAGGAACUAGGCAAAAUGGUGCCGUAACUUCGGGAGAAGGCACGCUGAUAUGUAGGUGAAGUGGUUUACCCAUGGAGCUGAAAUCAGUCGAAGAUACCAGCUGGCUGCAACUGUUUAUUAAAAACACAGCACUGUGCAAACACGAAAGUGGACGUAUACGGUGUGACGCCUGCCCGGUGCCGGAAGGUUAAUUGAUGGGGUUAUCCGUAAGGAGAAGCUCUUGAUCGAAGCCCCGGUAAACGGCGGCCGUAACUAUAACGGUCCUAAGGUAGCGAAAUUCCUUGUCGGGUAAGUUCCGACCUGCACGAAUGGCGUAAUGAUGGCCAGGCUGUCUCCACCCGAGACUCAGUGAAAUUGAACUCGCUGUGAAGAUGCAGUGUACCCGCGGCAAGACGGAAAGACCCCGUGAACCUUUACUAUAGCUUGACACUGAACACUGGUCCUUGAUGUGUAGGAUAGGUGGGAGGCUUUGAAGCGUGGACGCCAGUCUGCGUGGAGCCAUCCUUGAAAUACCACCCUUUAAUGGCUGGUGUUCUAACGUGGGCCCGUUAUCCGGGUUGCGGACAGUGUCUGGUGGGUAGUUUGACUGGGGCGGUCUCCUCCUAAAGAGUAACGGAGGAGCACGAAGGUCAGCUAAUCCUGGUCGGACAUCAGGAGGUUAGUGCAAUGGCAUAAGCUGGCUUGACUGCGAGCGUGACGGCGCGAGCAGGUGCGAAAGCAGGUCAUAGUGAUCCGGUGGUUCUGAAUGGAAGGGCCAUCGCUCAACGGAUAAAAGGUACUCCGGGGAUAACAGGCUGAUACCGCCCAAGAGUUCAUAUCGACGGCGGUGUUUGGCACCUCGAUGUCGGCUCAUCACAUCCUGGGGCUGAAGUAGGUCCCAAGGGUAUGGCUGUUCGCCAUUUAAAGUGGUACGCGAGCUGGGUUUAGAACGUCGUGAGACAGUUCGGUCCCUAUCUGCCGUGGGCGCUGGAGAAUUGAGGGGGGCUGCUCCUAGUACGAGAGGACCGGAGUGGACGCAUCACUGGUGUUCGGGUUGUCAUGCCAAUGGCAUUGCCCGGUAGCUAAAUGCGGAAGAGAUAAGUGCUGAAAGCAUCUAAGCACGAAACUUGCCCCGAGAUGAGUUCUCCCUGACUCCUUGAGAGUCCUGAAGGAACGUUGAAGACGACGACGUUGAUAGGCCGGGUGUGUAAGCGCAGCGAUGCGUUGAGCUAACCGGUACUAAUGAACCGUGAGGCUUAACCUUACAACGCCGAAG